UGCCACUUAAAAAGGAAGUGCUCUGUUCCUCUUCUCUCUCUCUCUCUCUCCAACCUCAUUUCUCUGAUCCGUAGGAUCUUUCGUGUCCAACCUUAAAAACCCUAACAGAUUUUCUUCCAAACGGAGAUCAUUGAUCCACUAGUAAAGAAACAAUCAUCUCUGUAUCUUCUUCUAACGAGAAGAAAUCGAUCAAUAGCCUUUUUUACUCCAGCUUUAGAGACGAGCUGAUCCUGUGAUCUCCAAAGACGUUCAACAAGGGUGAAAGAUUUUGAUUUUUGAUCAGAUUAAAGCGACUAGGAUUUAUCUUGAAAAUGGAAACGCUAAUCUUAGCUGCAGAACAUAGGAAUCAGUAUCAUCAUCAUGGGAAGAAAACUGUUGGACGACAUAGUGAUGGUUUUAGAUCCAAAACUUUCAGGCAAAUCAAUUGCAGAACUUUCCAUUAUGGAGUGGGUUUGCUUCCAAGGCCAAAGAGAACCUCUUCAACGUCUUUAACCAAAGGAUCUCUUCCUCAGGCUCCUUGCGGUAGAACCAUUCCCAUUCCCAUUCAAGGCUCUCAGAUCCGUUGUGAGUUUGUUGACAAAAGGAGAAGCCUUUCUUACUCUGAGCUUUGGGCAGGUCCUACUUACUCCAACUCUCCUCCACCUACUUCUGUCCCCAUUCCUAAGUUCUCUCUCACGCAAAAGAGGACGGUUUCUUUGAGCUUCCCACCUCCCCACCCUACUGUUGAAGCUGCCAAGUCUGCGCCUGUUUCUCCAACCUCAUCUGCUGAUAACCCUUUUCACACUACUGUCUCUGCCACUGUGACACUGCGUCGCAUGCUCAACCUUGACCAUGAAUGAAUAUCAGGAGUCUUUAGGGGGGACAGGGGUUAGUUUUAGUUUUCUGCAAUACAUAAAUAAGUAGCUGGUUUGAUUUUGUUUAGUAGCGUCUGAUGGUGGUGGUAAAGGAACAACGUGGAAGCAGUCAGUCUUCACAGCAGAGUUGGUCAGUAGUUACUGGAUCUCCUAUCCUAGGUGGAGCAGAUUGCUAUAGUGAGUAGAAACAUUCAGGAAGCGGAUUCUUGGUUUAGCAUUUAGGAUGGCUAGCUAGAAAUUCACCAGUCUCUAUCUAACAUAUACCCUGGGUUGGUGAAUGCUAAGUUCAUGGUGCAUUUCCUCUUUUCCCUUUGUAUAUGUUUCUCUUUUAGAGUCUUGGCUUCUUUUCUUAAGUGGGUUAGUUAGCAACUAGGUUCCUGUGUCUAUUCUUCCAAGUUGCAACAUCUUUUGGUGGUCUUAAUCUUACCCUUCCUGUUUUGUCUCCCUCCUUGUUCAUCUCUUUUCUUUUCAUCCCUUUGAGUCUUCUUCUAUUUCGUUUAUGUCCAGCCUUAAAAGAUGUAAAUCCUUGCUACUUGUGUUUAGUGGUCUUCCUCUUCAACCCUUUCCUUAUUUUUUUUGUAAAAGGAAGAAGGGAAUGGGAAGCUCUUUCUUCUGACCAACCCUCUUGAACGGUCUCUAGUCUACUGGUAAAUAUUCAUCCAAAUCUUUCUGGCGAUACUUCUUCUCAAGACAAAGACAUUCCUCAGGCUCUUCUUGAUACCGGUCUUACCUACUUUAAAAGUUUCCUUGGAGUUUCGUGAUCCUGCCUAAUCUGCUCACCAGGGGCUUAUAGAAGCUGCUGCUCCGCUCUGCUCUGUUGUUGAUGCUUUUGAUCAUAGUUCCUUUGUCUCUACUAUCUUUUGGUUUUCUUGUAUUGUUUACGCAGUGACAAGUAUUGUCUCAGUGUUUGGACCUCUGCUUUCCAAAAACACAUAUGUUUCUCCUUGUCUUUGUGUAAAGUUUGUGGCAGUGUUGUAGGCAUUUUGGUAUCUGGUACUGAGUUUUAAUGGUGAAGGAGCUGUAUCCCUUGUUCCCUAUAAGUAUUAUUAUCAAAGAUUGUCGAUA
Brassica oleracea var. oleracea is the source of this 1919-nucleotide long non-coding RNA. RefSeq lists it as uncharacterized. Lineage: Eukaryota; Viridiplantae; Streptophyta; Magnoliopsida; Brassicales; Brassicaceae. The record is from RefSeq and is a predicted model, not a curated record. The transcript has 3 exons.